Molecule: ribosomal RNA, 459 nt
Filed under: uncultured bacterium
Lineage: Bacteria
Description: partial 16S ribosomal RNA
Rfam family: Bacterial small subunit ribosomal RNA
Source: RNAcentral
CCUACGGGUGGCAGCAGUGAGGAAUAUUGGUCAAUGGGCGCGAGCCUGAACCAGCCAAGUCGCGUGAGGGAAGACGGUCCUAUGGAUUGUAAACCUCUUUUGUCGGGGAGCAAAAGACGCCACGCGUGGCGUUCCGAGAGUACCCGAAGAAACAGCAUCCGCGAACUCCGUGCCAGGAGCCGCGGUAAUCCGGAGGAUGCGAGCGUUAUCCGGUUUUAUUGGGUUUAAGGGGUGCGCAGGCGGAAGAUCAAGUUAGAGGUAAAAUUGAGGGUCUCAACCGCUUUGAGCCGUUGAAACUGGUUGUCUUGAGUGAGUGAGAAGUAUGCGGAAUGCGUGGUGUAGCGGUGAAAUGCAGAGAUAUCACGCAGAACUCCGAUUGCGAAGGCAGCAUACCGGCGCUCAACUGACGCUCAUGCACGAAAGUGUGGGUAUCGAACAGGAUUAGAUACCCUUGUAGUC